RNAcentral lists this ribosomal RNA (513 nucleotides) under uncultured bacterium. Its description in RNAcentral is "partial 16S ribosomal RNA". It matches the Rfam family "Bacterial small subunit ribosomal RNA", at positions 28 to 523 of the family's 1533-position model. The record is from RNAcentral.
GAUGAACGCUGGCGGCGUGCCUAAUACAUGCAAGUCGAGCGAACAGAUAAGGAGCUUGCUCCUUUGACGUUAGCGGCGGACGGGUGAGUAACACGUGGGUAACCUACCUAUAAGACUGGAAUAACUCCGGGAAACCGGGGCUAAUGCCGGAUAACAUUUAGAACCGCAUGGUUCUAAAGUGAAAGAUGGUUUUGCUAUCACUUAUAGAUGGACCCGCGCCGUACUAGCUAGUUGGUAAGGUAAUGGCUUACCAAGGCAACGAUACGUAGCCGACCUGAGAGGGUGAUCGGCCACACUGGAACUGAGACACGGUCCAGACUCCUACGGGAGGCAGCAGUAGGGAAUCUUCCGCAAUGGGCGAAAGCCUGACGGAGCAACGCCGCGUGAGUGAUGAAGGGUUUCGGCUCGUAAAACUCUGUUAUUAGGGAAGUACAAACGUGUAAGUAACUGUGCACGUCUUGACGGUACCUAAUCAGAAAGCCACGGCUAACUACGUGCCAGCCGCUGCAGUAA